GAGUUCAAGGAGUACUUGAACCGUUCAGGGGUAAACCUGAGAAACCCGAAAGGUCGAAUGGGGAAAUUCAUUCGCGUUUCGAUUGUCGGCGUUAGACGGUUGUGUGACGGAUGGAGUACGCUUUAUCCGCGCCUUCAGUUUAUCGAACCGGCUUCGAACGCGUGCACUUUUCUCUUAGUAGGACGUCGCGAUCCGUUGGGCGUCGAUCUAAGGCCGAUGGUGGAGCUCGAGUAGAUUUCGAUCUGCUCGAACCCUUCGUGUCCCGAUCGACUCGCUCGACGGUAUUAAAAUGGCGUGGGGCCGCUAUUCAGUUAGCGUUUGACCUACUGCAAGCACGUACGGUGUCGACGGCGAUCAGACCUGGUCGGAUCCCGUCCCCGUACGACUGUUGGCACGUAGUGUUCUCAAACAGACCUCUUUGAAACSCCAAUY
This 432-nucleotide ribosomal RNA is filed under the name Notosacantha sp. JJG504. RNAcentral describes it as "eukaryotic LSU rRNA". The record is from RNAcentral. Lineage: Eukaryota; Metazoa; Arthropoda; Insecta; Coleoptera; Chrysomelidae.